This 19260-nucleotide long non-coding RNA is filed under the name Populus trichocarpa (black cottonwood). RNAcentral's name for it is "long non-coding RNA (PTRI_LNC003880)". The record is from RNAcentral. Lineage: Eukaryota; Viridiplantae; Streptophyta; Magnoliopsida; Malpighiales; Salicaceae.
AAAGUAUGGAGAGCUAUACUACUAUCUUUAUCAAUAUGUAAAAUGAUCAGAACUAUUUAUGUGAGAAAAAUAAGCAAAGUUCUCCAGUGGAUUAGAAGAAGCAAGCAAAGUUGUCUGCUUAAAAAGUAUGGACGGCUCAUCGUGUCUCUAUCAAUAUGUAAAAUGUUAUUUUGAUAUGGGAACUAUUUACGUGAGAAAAAUAAAUAGAGUUCUUAGUGAGUUUCAUGGUUUCUUUUGAGGUUUUAAUUUCGGUCACUAUGCAGUCCUGAUCUUUUGAGGUUUUAUUAAUGAAGGAAUCCAAAAUAAUAAUAAUAAUAAUAAUAGGAGUGAGAAAAUGGUGCUGGAUUACCCAUAAAAUACCUAGAAAUUGGUUGAGGAGGUUCAAAAAUACAAUAAUUAAAAUUUGACAGUAUAUUUUUAACUUGUGAGAGUCAUGUGACAAGAAAAAUUCAAUUGAGGAAGAAAAGUUCAAAAUCAGAUGUUUAUGGACUCAAUUAAAUUUUAUCUAAGGUUUAAUUGAAUUUAUGGAGGGUUUGAUUGCAAGAAAAAUUGAUUUUUAAAGUAAAUUUACGCUUUUAUUGGAAAAAAAGUUAAAGUUCUGGGGUCCAAUUAUAAUUUUGAAGAGUUGAUUUGGUCAAAUUAGGGGCUUAAUUACAUAAUUAUUGAAGUUUGAUGGCUAAUUAGGAACUUAAUUGAAACAAUCCGAAACCAAGGACCAAACCAGAAAAGGCGAUAACAUUAAGGGACCCAAUUACAAUGUUUCCGGGGUUUGAUUACACAAUUGCGAAACUUUCAAGGACCAAAUCAGAAGACUCCAAACGGCGCCGUUUCCUUUGAAGCACUAUUCACUGUCUUCUCAAACAUGGCAGCUGUGGCGUUAAAGGCAGGAGACGUUAGCAGCGAUAAUGGAGCCGCUUCAAUCAGGGGGCAUGUCUCACGCCACCAUGUACGGAAGCCUUUACUUUGUUGCCAGAAAACUUCUGCAUCCUCUGGCUAUAAAAGCCAGAGGAAGGAUCGAGCAAAGGGGAGAAAAAAAGGGAGGAGAAAGCAAGGAGACAGCAGAAAAAAAAAACAGGGUGGGAAAAAAGGAAAGAGAAAAGAACAGAGGGGAAAGGAGACGAGGAGGACGCAGACACACCAGAAAAAAAGAACAGGGAGAAUAAAGAAAGGAAACAGAGGGAUGCGCACUGGGUAGCACAGGGAGAAGGAAGCAGGGGAGAGGGACUGUUGAACCUCUUUCAAAACCGCAGGAUCCGUGAUCAAGCUCAGACGAAUUGGAAAAAAAACACGAAUACCAGUAGCAAGGAAAAACAGACGAAGAGGAAGAACCAGAGGAAAAGCAAACGAAACAGGGAAGAUAUAAAUCCAAAACAUGUUGCUGUCUUCGUCUUGCUUCCAGGUAACUCCAGCUUGGCAAAAUAAUGCACAAAAUACUGUGCACUUGGAAUUUAAUUACAUGGUGGCUGCAGCAAGCGUGCGUGACUUAUUCACGCACGCUGGCGGGUAGAAUCCAGCCGGGUCACUGGUUUGGGCCAAUGACCCGGCUAAGCCUGCUGGGUCCAGCCCAGCCACAUGGGCCGAGCUAGACCCAGCCCAAAAAAAUCCAAAAAUCUCUUCAAAAAAUUUAUGAUUUUCUCGUAUAUUUUUUACUGCAUUUUGAUCAAUAUUGGUUUGUAUUUUUAUAAUGUAAAGAUACAAAUCCGGUAUUAAAAUACUUGGUUUUCGUCAAAACACAAAAAAGUAAAAAAUAAAUAAAUAAUAUUUUGUUUUCAUGCAUACGGCCAAGUAUCUCAAAGAAAAAAAAAUCAUAUUUUCAUACAACAAAAAUUCAAAAAAUAGGUAUUAGUAUGCAUUUUGGCUUUAAUAACCAGUUUAUUAAAGUUACGAGAACUAGGCCAAAAUUUCAAAAAUUCAAAAAAAUUAUUUUGUUUUCUUUUAAUAUCUAGGGUUACGACCUUAUACGUAAGACGUAUUCCGGAUAUUAAAUUCUUUUGUUGAUGUUAGAAUGGUUAAGUUUCACCCGAUAAGAUAAGGAUCUCCUUAUCAAGGAGAACUUUUCUUAAAUCAUAGACGGACCAACAACUAGAAAACACGACAAGACCUUAGAUUUUAUCAGACAAUAAAACAAUGCAGUUUACCUUAGGUAGGGCGUAUUUGGGGUGCUAAUACCUUCCCUUUACGCAACCAGUCCCCGCACCCGAUCUCUGAGACCAAUUAGGAUUCCUAGUGACCAAAAUACUAGGUGGUGAGUCCCAUUCCAAUUUUUCCACUAAUAAAAGACAAGAAUUUCUUGUCUCCCCAUAUUUUCCAUAUUUUUAGAUAAUACAAAAUUUUGAGGGUGGAUGUUUUCGCCGCACACGUGCGACAAUUAAAGUGCCAAAGGAUACCAAUCGUCCCACCACUACCAGAAAAUUGAUAAAUACAAACAGAAAUACCGAGGAAAUAUUUUUGUCGGUGAAUUGCCGACGGAUUUUACCGAUGGAAAUAUUCCCUCGAAAUUUACCGAGGGAAUUACAAUGGGAAAAAUAAUUAAAACAAAGCAAAAAAAUGAUGACGUGCCAUUUUUACCAACGAAAUUACCGACGAAAUAAAAUCAUUGGUAAACUGUCAACACUAUUCAUCAUGUUAAUUACGAAUGGAAUCACAGAGGGAGCAUUUCGUCGGUAUUUUACAGAGAGCUUUAGAACUAUUCACUUCCCAAUUGCACUGUUAAUUACUGUUCUUUACAGAAAAAAUCACUGACGGAUUGAAAAGUCGUCGAUGUUAUUUGGUGGUUUUCUGAAAAAUUUAAAUUAAAUAUUACAAACGGAAUCACUGACGGAAUGAAAAGUUAUCGGUGAUAUUUGACGGUUUCUAAAAUGUUUUUAUUAAAUUCAAAAUUUAAAUUAAAUAUUAUAGACAGAAUCACCGACGGAAUGAUUAAAAAUAUUAAUAUUUAAUUAUCCAUAAGUAAAAUUAUCGGUAAACGCCCCAAUAAAAAGCCUAGAAUCUCUACAGACCCGUCUUCUUUCUUCUUCUUCUUCUUCUUUUUUUCUUCUCUCUCCUCAACUCCUUCUCUUCUCCUCCAUACUCAGGUAUGUCUUCUUCUUCUUCUUUUCUUCUGUUCUCUCCUCAACUCCUUCUCUUCUCCUCCAUACUCAAGUAUGUUUUCUUCUCCUUUCUUAUUUUUUCUUCUCAGUUUUUUUUAAUUAGUAUAGUUUACGAAUUUUUUUUUCUCUUCUUAGCUUCACUUGCAACUACAUUAAGGUAAAAAAAACAUUUCUUCUUUUUUCGUGUUUUUUUCACUAUAUUUGUUUUUUAUUUUAUUUGUAAUUGCUUUUUUCUUAAUAAUUGUAUGAAUUUUGUUGUAGGAUUCAUUUUUUCAUAUAAGAUCAAUUUUUAGUUGAUUUCUUUAUAGGAUUUUUAAACUUUUUUCAUAUGAAUUUUUUUAGUUGAAUUUAUUUUUUCACGUUAUUUAUUUGUUGCAAAUUUUUUUGAUUUGAUUUUCUUCCUUUUUCCAAGAAUUUUGAGUAUUAUAGACUGUUGAUUAAUAAUUAUUUUAUAUUUUUGUAAUAUAUAAUUUAUAUAUUUUUAAAUAAUUACCGAUGGAAUUACAUACGGUUUGUUUCCGAGGAAAUUACCGACGGAAUGAAAUAGUUUUUUUUUGCUUGCUUUUUUCGUUAGUAAAUCCAUCUGUAAUAAUAUUUUUUUAUUACCAACGGACUUACCGACGGACAAAAAAUUAUCAACGAAAGAUUAACCGAUGGAGACUUUCCGUCGGUGAUUUUGUCGGUGAGUUUUUUACCAAUGAAAUGGUAGUGCAAAUACUGACAGAAAAUUUCGUCGGUAAAUCUAAAGAUUUUGGUAGUGCACCUUAGAUGAGUGGUCUUACCAGUUGAAACGGUUUGAUGAAUUUGCUUCCAUACAAAUGUUAUAAGCUUGAGUAAUUUUCAUCGGUGUCAAGAACAACUAUUAGGUACUUUAUGGCUCCAAAAGCAAGUAAUUAUAUAAUCUUUAAGCCGCUUUUGGAUCAGUAGUUACUAGUAGAUUAUAUAAUCUUUAAGCUGCUUUUGGAUCAGUAGUUAGUAGUAUAUUGUCUCGCACUAUGAAUUAAUAUCAAAUUUAAAAAAAAUGUAAAAGAAAUAUUAAGAGUAUAGAUAAUGUUUUAAUAGCCUUGGAUCAAGUAGUCAUGUCAGAUUCAAGGCUCUUAGGUCUGAAAUGGCUCUUAGGUCUGAAAUGGUUGUCAAACCCAAGUAGCUUAGGUCUGGUGUGGUAGCUAGAUGCAAGGCGUUUGGGUCUGGCAAAAACGCUACACGCAAACUUAUUUUUCAUUUUUUUAUGCUAAAAACAUUAUUUUACUGUAUAUGAAAAUUGUAAAAACCUGAAAUGCCCUUUUUCGGCAGCCUAUCUUUUAUAUAUAUAUAUAUUUGAGGCAAAGAAGUAUUAUUACUAAUACGAAUAUUGUGAAAAGCCAAGAAAGUCAUUGGUUAACAAUUCUAAUUUUUAUUAACUCUAGGGGUUAAAGAGUACUUUAACUAUGUCCUAGGUGCCUUGGGUCUAGCAGCCUUGCUAGAUUGGCAUCUAGAUCUGCAACCAUGCCAGAUCGUGUUGGGGUCUGCCACACCCACGCAUGGGUCUGACAACCAUACUAGAUCCACGCACAACAAACAAAGUGGAUAAUUGUGUACUUUAGUUUUUAGGAGAGAAAAAAAAUAGAAGAAAAAACACAAACAAUCGAUCAUCAGCGGCAAUCCAACCAUUAUCUAGCUACACGCGCCAUACUAUGUGGAAGAGGGCACAACUAUAAACUUCCAAUUAGAUGGUCGUUAGCCAUAUUUGGCUACUAGAAAGUGUCAUAUAUGCCUCCUUAAUGGCGUGAGGAACACUGACCCACAGCUUUUCAAUUAAAAUAAUAAAUAUAUCAUGAAAAUACUAAAACGCCCCCAUGGUCCUCUUAAUUACACAAAUAUCCGUAUAAAAAUACCAAAAUACCCCCAAAUGCAAAGUUUUUUAUUUUAUUUUUUCUGAGGCUAAAAGCGUUAUAUGACUGUACUUGGAAAUUGAAAAAAUCCAAAUACCAUUGUAAUAGAAAAUCAAAGAAACAUCUCGUGAAAAUAUAAGAAAUUAAAAGUGAAACUACUGUUAUAAUCUACAAUAAAAAAUCUCUUAAUAUAUAGUGAUUUUCCGACAUCAUUUAGUUUUUGUUAUAAUUGAGCUGUUUUCGUGAAAAUAUUGGAAUUUAUAAAUAAUUUUUAUACAAGGUGUCUUAUAUCUAUGUAAGAAUGAGAAGUAUAAUUUAGGAUUAUCUGAGUGGUAUGGUUAUGUACUAAGUAAUCACAUCUAACAGACUUUCUUCUUUAACCAUGUUGAGCGCGAUAUGACAUGAACAGAGGAUGGUUACAUGAAUAUGCCUUUACGGGCCGUUUAUUUUAUUUUUAAUUUUAAAAAAAACUGUGUUUUAUGAUUUUUUUUAAAAAAAAUUAUUGCUUGAAAUUAAUUUUUUUAUGUUUUUAGAUCUGUUAAUAUUAAAAUUAAUUUUUAAAAAAUAAAAUAAAAAUAUUAUUUUUAUAUAUUUCUGAACGAAAAAUAUUUUUAAAAACAAUCGCUCUCACAUUUAUAAACAAUAUUUUAAUAUAUAAAAGACCUAGCAAGUUGGAUUAUAUUUUGACUUGGGGUAAUCCUCACAGUGUGGCUUGGUUAACCUAUAGGGUUUGGACAAUGCUUUCACUCAUUGUUAUUAAACCCGGCCCGGCGGGUCGACCAGGGACCCAGUCGACCUGGUAGCUGGACCGGUCCGGGUUUAAUAAAAGACUGGCUGGGGUAAUAGUCAGGCCAAACCCGGGUGACCCGGCGGGUCGAUCCAUGACCCGAGCGACCCGGGCGAACCCGGACGAGACCGGGUGUUUUUUUUUUUUCAAAUGUGAGAUUUCAAACCCAUUAGUAUAUAUACUUUAUGUUUCCAAGAAAAAAGUCAUGUUUUUUCAAUGUGGGAUAAAAAAACCUUUUGGUUUAAAUACUUCAACUUAAAAGAAUAACAUGGUAUCUUUUUAAUAUGGAAUUUGAAGCCCUUUCGUAUAUAUACUCUAUGUUCUCAUGAAAAAAGUUAUGUUUUUUCAAUGUGGAAUUUGAAACCCCUUAGUAUAUAUACUCUAUGUUCCCAAGAAAAAAAAUCAUGUUUUUUCAAUGUGAGAUAAAAAAACCUUUUGGUUUAAAUAUUUCAACUUAAAAGGAUAACAUAAUAUCUUUUCAAUGUGGAAUUUGAAGUCAUUUCGUAUAUAUACUCUAUGUUCUCAUAAAAGAAGUUAUGUUUUUUCAAUUUGAGAUUUGAAACCUAUUAGUAUAUAUACUCUAUGUUCCCAAGAAAAACGUUAUGUUUUUUCAAUGUGGGAUAAAAAAAAAUUUGGUUUAAAUACUUCAACUUAAAAGCUUAACAUAAUAUCUUUUUAAUGUGGGAUAAAAAACUUUUUAAAAUAUUAUUUUAAACUUCAUUGUUUACAAUAUGUGUAACCUAUAUUUACAUGGAUUUUUUUCAUAUGAAAUAUUAAAAUUUUAAUUUUUCCAGGUUGAUCCGGGUUAACCCGAGUUGACCCAUAAAACCUGAAACCCGGCCCUUUAACCGGCAACCCCAAGCUGAGUUUAAUAACUAUGCUUUCACCUUGGCAUCAACUCAGGAAGAGUAGACGAAGAUGCCUUUCGUCUAUAUUUGACUCGGAGUAUAGAUAAUUCUUUUGUAUUGACUUGGAGUCAACGUGCAUGGAAGCAAGUUGAGUAUUUAAGGAUCCAGAGAGGCGAUAUUUAUGUAGUAACGUCGCCUAGAAGUCUACAAUGGUGUACUAAGGAGGCUAAAAUUAACGUUGCUGGUAAUAUUAAGUAUAAACUAAAAUGUGUGAGUUUUUUUUACCGUGUAUUCAUAUAUUAUUAUGGAUUAAAUGUCUAAAAUCUUUAGUUUUUUUUUUCAAUUUGGUUUUUAAUUUAUUUAUUUUUGAUGAUUUAGUCCUAAUUGUGUAAAAUCUUUUUUAUUAGGUGGUUUUUUACCUUUAUACUUCAUGAAAAAAUAUAUAUAUAUAUAUAAACUCGGAUUGAUUUUUUGUUUUUGGUUGAUUUUGGUUUUUGAGACAGUUUUUUGAAGUCAAUGAUAGAUUUAUCACGGUUCCUAAAAUAUUUUAUAGGUAUUUUAAGUAAACAAUUUAAAAAUGGGUUUUUAAGUCAAAAAAGUUAAGCCCUGAUUUUUCAGCCAUUGUGGUGGCUGGAAUAUAAACAAAUCAAACAACUUGUUCUCUGAUUUUUUUUUCAAAAAAAAGUAGGACAAUGGACAUGCUACAAAAGAAAUAAGAGUCCAAUCACGGGGGCUUGCCAGUGCAGGCUCACUUAGGGAACCUAACAAAAUGGGCAAGGCGUCCGAACCCAACAAAGCUUGGCCUUUGUUUUUUUCUUGUAAAUUAUUAUUUCUUAAUUUUUUUAAAUGAAUGAUUUGUUUUGUUUUUUUCUCUAAUUUUUUUAUUUUUCAGAUUAUAUUUAUAACAUGUGUAACCGCGCAUCGUGUUUUUUUCCCCUUUUAUUCUAUUCAAUAAAUUUAAUUUGUGUUUCCAUUUUUAUUAUUAUUUUCUUUAAUAAAAAAUUAUCUUAAUAAAUAAAUUUAGCAAAUACAAUAAGAUAAAUUUCUUAUAUUUAAAGAUUAAAUAUCUUGAUGUAAACCUAAAUCUUAAUUUUCAAAGCUUUAUAAUUUUCGAAGCUUUAUACCUUAGAAAAUGAUACCUCAAUUUUGUACUUGCUAAAGCUUAAUUUUGACUCAAUUUAUAAAUAUCUUGACUCAAUUUUGUCACCGUGAGUCAACAGCUAGUCUUCAGCUUUAUUAAAGCAUAUAUACUAUUAUCUUCCAUCAUAUGUGGAUAGAAUGCACUCUUACUUUUCAAAGUUGGCUUAUUCAAUAGUGCGAAGUAUUUGAUACGUUCAUUAAUUAUCUUGGGCACGUGUGGAUAGAAUGCACUCUUACUUUUCAAAAAAAUAGUAUUUUGUGAUUUUUUGAAAAGAAUAUUGCUUGAAAUUAAUAUUUUUUAUUUUUAGAUUGUUGUGAUGUGUUAAUAUGAAAAAUAAUUUUUAAAAAUUUAAAAUAAAAAUAUUUUAUAUAUAUAUAUCUAAAUAAAAAAAUAUUUUUAAAAAUAAUAUGUAUAAUCUUAAUAUAUAAAAAGGACCCAUAAAAACACUAUCUUAAUAUAUAAAAAGGACCCAGCAAGCUGACAUAAACUUAGGAAGAGUAGACGAAGAUGCCUUUCGUCUAUAUUUGACUCGGAGUAUAGAUAAUUCUUUUGUAUUGACUUGGAGUCAACGUGCAUGGAAGCAAGUUGAGUAUUUAAGGAUCCAGAGAGGCGAUAUUUAUGUAGUAACGUCGCCUAGAAGUCUACAAUGGUGUACUAAGGAGGCUAAAAUUAACGUUGCUGGUAAUAUUAAGUAUAAACUAAAAUGUGUGAGUUUUUUUUACCGUGUAUUCAUAUAUUAUUAUGGAUUAAAUGUGUAAAAUCUUUAGUUUUUUUUUUCAAUUUGGUUUUUAAUUUUUUUUUGAUGAUUUAGUCCUGAUUGUGUAAAAUCUUCUCAAUUAGGUGUUUUUUUACCUUUAAAGUUCAUAAAAAACAUAUAUAAACUCGGAUUGAUUUUUAGUUUUGGGUUGAUUUUGGUUUUUAGAACGAUUUUUUGAGCUCAAUGAUAGAUUUAUCAUGGUUUAUAAGAUGUUUUGUAGGUAUUUUAAGUAAACAAUUGGUUGAAAAUGGGUUUUUGGGUCAAAAAAGUUAACCUGAUUUUCCAGCCAUUAUGGUGGCCGGAAUCUAAACAAAUCAAACGACUCGUCCUCCGAUUUUUUUUUCUAAACAAAAUUGGGACAGAAGACACAUUACACAAAAAAAAAAUAAGAGUCCAAUCACGGGGGGGCCUGCCAGUGCAGGCUCGCAUGUGGAACCAAACAAAAUGGGUGAGGCGUCCAAACUCAACACAGAGCCUGGCCUUUGUUUUUUUUUUUGUAAAUUAUUAUUUUUUAAUUUUUUUUAAAUUAAUGAUUUUUUUUCUCUAAUUGUUUUUUAUUUUUCAGAUUAUCAGAUUAUAUUUAUAAUAUGUGCAACCACGCUUGGUGUAUUUUUCUUCUUUUAUUCUAUUCAAUCAAUUUAAUUUGUGUCUCUAUUUUUAUUAUCAUUUUCUUUAAUAAAUAAAUUAUUUUGAUAAAUAAAUUUAGCAAAUAGAAUCAAAUAAAUUUCUUAUAUUUUAGAAUUAAAUAUCUACAUCAACACCUAACUCUUAAUUUUCAAAGCUUUAUAUUUUUCGAAGCUUUAUACCUUAGAAAAUGAUACCUCAAUUUUGUACUUAUGAACUAUGUUCUGCUUGGAAACCUCUGAAGGUGGAGCCUGUCACCGUGAGUCAACAGCUAGUCUUCAGCUUUAUUAAUGCAUAUUAUUAAUUAAAGCAUAUUAUUAUCUUCCUUCAUAUGUGGAUAGAAUCCACUCUUACUUUUCAAAGUUGGCUUAUUCAAUAGUGCGAAGUAUUUGAUACGUUCAUUAAUUAUCUUGGGCACCUGUGGACUUAAUUUCAAGAAUAGUUCCCUUCGAAUGCUGCUAAAAAUCAUGGUGGCUAUAAAUAGCUAGGAGCGGUGGAUAGGAGGAGAGCAUAAUCAUGUUAGUCGCAUAUAUUUCCAAGAUGAAGGCCUUUCUUAUCGUAUGCUUUCUCUUAGCUACCAUCGUCUUCUCUCCCCUGUCCACUUGCACUGCUCGAGAAUUGGCCGAGCGAGGUGAGAUUUUAUUUCCAACAUUAACUUCAAAAAAGCAGUUCAUUUUGUGUGUGUAAUCUCUGUGUACACGACCUUUUGUUAUAAAACUGAUGAGUCAACCUUUACUUCUACUUCCGGCAUUAAUUAAGUUAAGAUAAUCAUUAAUUUCAUGUUUUGUAUGUAUUUAUUGUUUAAUUAAUCUGUCGUGGGCUAUCUUAUAAAAAAAGAAGAAGAUGAUUCUGCUAUAAUAUCAGAUUAUGUCAACAUGAAUUUGCUGUAACAUGCGUGAAUCUUGCAGACGUAGGAACUCGGAACCCCAAUAAACCAGUGUUCAGUUGCGGAAGGGGUAAUCGAUAUUGCGUACCUGGCCCAUCACCAAAACGUAAAUGCACAAGUCCUUACCGGCGUGGUUGUGGGCGCCAUUAAGAUUAGAAGCAAGCAAAGUUGAGUGCUUAAAAGCAUGGAGAGCUUCUGCUGUCUUAGUCAAUAUGUAAAAUGAUGAGAACUAUUUAUGUGAGAAAAAUAAAUUAAGUUCUUAGUGAGUUAAUUUCAUGGUAUCUUUUGAGGUUUUUAUUUCGGUCAUUACGCAGUCCUCUUAUUUGUAAUCUCCCAUGAGAAUUAUUAAUGAAGUUUAAUUAUGCCAAACAAUAUGUUUAAUUACUUGUUUUUCCUCAAAUAUCAAGUUGAAAUCAAAUAUAUAUAUAUAUAUAUAUAUAUAGUAAAAUAAAAUAAAACUUAACUAGAGAGAGCAGAGUUUUAGCUAUAUAGGUUGUAGAUCAGGCCUCAGUCUAACUACAAAGAAGAAAAAAGAAGAAAAAUAAGGAAUAAACAGCCCAACUAAUGAAACAACAACACAAAAAUUCAAACAAAAUCAGAAUUUAAACGGAUCAAGCCGAAAUACAUUUAUGAUAGUUAUAUAGAUUCGCACAUGUAUACUAGAAUAAAAAAUUCAGAUUUCUGAUGGAAGCUACAGCAAAUAAAUUAGAACAAAUGUCAUAUAUUUCCAAGAUGAAGGCCUUUCUUAUCGCAUGCAUUCUCUUAGCUACCAUCGUCUUCUCUUCCCUAUCCACUUGCACUGCUCGAGAAUUGGCCGAGCGAGGUGAGAUUUUAUUUCCAUCAUUAACUUCAGAAAAACAGUUCAUUUUGUGCGUGUAGUCUCUUUGUGUAUUGCAAACAAUUUUUUGUUAUAAAACUGAUGAGUCAACCUUUACUUCUACUUCCAGCAUUAAUUAAGUUAAGAUAAUCAUUAAUUUCAUGUUUUGUAUGUAUAUAUUGUUUAAUUAUUCUGUCAUGGGCUAUCUUAUAAUAAUUAAAAAAAAAAAGGAUUCUGCUAUAAGAUCGUCGAUGGAAAGACAAUUGCAUUAGCGGUUCCAUCAAUGAUUAUUAACCACAACAAUUAGAUAGUUCAUAAUCAACCACAACCACGUAUUUACACAUCUACAAAAAUAAUAAAACUUAUACAAAUUUCAUGAUUCAUUUAAAUAUGGCUCACAACAAUGAGAUAAACAAAAAUUACCAUAACCCAUCUUUACCUUACAUACUAUAUAUGUUUGUCUUAAUAAUUAGAACACUAUAGCAUUUAACAGUUUUACCGACGAACUGUAUCCGUCGGUGUGAAAUUAACAUUUCGUCAGUAAUUAUUUUACCAACUAAAUCCCCAACAGAAUCCGUCCGUCGGCAUAGUUUUCGUCAGUAAUUCCACAUUAUGUCUCUAAUUCUAUCGGUAAAAAAAUGAAAUGCCAAUGAUUUUAUAGACGGAACAUGCACGCCAAAAAAAAAUUCUCGUUGGAAAUAUACCGACAAAAAUAAUCCGUCGGUGAUUGUAGCAUAUGAAGUAAAUAUUUUUCAACUCUCGGUGAAAUGCCGACAGACUGUAUUCGUCUGCAGAGACGUCGAUGAUUAUGGCAUUUGCAGUAAAUAUUUUGCAACUCUCGGUAAAAUACCGACGAAAUAUUUUUGUCUGUUAAGAUGUUGGUGAUUGUGGUAUUUCCAGUAAAUAUUUUUCAACUCUCUGUAAAAUACUGAUGAAAUGUUUUCGUCUGGAAAUCCAUCGGUGAUAUUUUUUAUUUUUUAAAAAAACAUUAUAUAGAAUAAAUAAUAUAAAUUAAUAGUAAAAAAACCAAUUAUGCAAAUAAAAUUGUAUUAAACAUAAUAAAAAUAAAAAUAAAAAUGAAGUUAAAUAAUAUUCAUAAUAAAUUUAAUGUGUUUCCAAAAAAAACUUAAACUAGAACAAUGGCGAAGCAAGAUGAGGAGGAGGUGGUGGAGGCUGGUCGUUCCCGGGACAAAACGGCCAAAAAGGAGGCGCACAUGUAUCAUCCAUUUGUGAUGUAAUUUUCAUGAGCAUUUGGCGGAGUUGUUUAUAAUUCACCAAGAGUUGCUCGUAUUUUUCGAUGAGAUGAGCUGUGUGUUGUUGCUAGGCCACGAUCUCCUUAGAUUGGGUGCUCAAUAUUGAUUGAGAGCUCCCAACAGUUGAAAUAUUAUGGGCCGCUCACAAGUUCUCGGCCGUAGUGUUGGAGAGCCUGUACACCCAAUUUUUAUCGGGUCUACCAGACGAUUCUACCUCCAUCCACAAAUUCAGAUUGAAAUCCAGAUGGGUCGAAGGAUCGUUCCCAUAUCUCUCCCUCAACUGGCUAUUAUAGGUCUCUUGAAAAGGAAAAAAGAAAUCAUCAUAUUCAAUUCAAGAAAAAUAAUAACUUAUGAAAUAAAAUAGUUGAACGAACAUACCACGAAGUGUUGAGUGUGGUUGUCAACGAACUGUUGCACCUUCUUUUGGCGGUCUUCACUCCGCAUGUGUGUCUCUAGAAAUAGCUUCAUUAGGCUCGACUCACAUCCAAGAGACAUAGCCUGUAAAAAAAAAAUUAAUUAAGUAAUGACAAAUUAAUUAACGAUAUAUUUCAUUUAAAUUAAUUUUACCAUUUGUUUUGCAUGUACAGCAAACAAAACGGAGCCGCCAUGUGGACCGGACUAUCGGUUCCGGUACCAAACUAUAUACAUUAAUAAACGUUGUCAUCAUUCAGGUGAUGCCUCUGCUAGAGAGGCAAUUAUACAUCAAGAAAUACUUGUAACGGGUGGUGAAUGAUUAAAUGAACUUUAGAAUUCUUUGCUUUGAUUACGUUCAAAAUGGCCCAAAGACCACAACUUGCUAUUAAUAGGUUGGGCUGAUGUGAAGUCAUGAUGACCCAACUUAAAUUUACUCGAUAUAAAGAAACAUUCACAUAUAUUUAAAAUUCAAAUUUAAUAAUAAACGAUAAAGUAAACACGACUAUAUAUACAUUUUUAAUUUUUUUCAUAAGCAAUUGAUGUUGAUGUUGCUACUACAAAGACAAUUAUAAGUCAAUAAAUACUUUUUUUAUUAUUAACAUAGGUGUUCGGGCCAGCUUGCGCGUACCUCGACUAAUUCCACGGGCCCUGAAGUUAACGACCAUGUAAGCCUCUAGUGGCCCUGAGGUUUGUGGGACUCAAACUGGUGACCUCUAGGGAGCAUCGUGUGAACCGCUUAGACGUCACGUGCUCAGUAUAUUACGGUUAUAUAUCCCUUGGGAUGUUUGGCGGUUUGAAAUCCUUCCAAACUGUCACGUCAUUUCAGCCUUGUAGACCGUUAUCUCUCGUGUAUUUUUUGGCCUUUUUUGUGCUAUAUACCAAAAAUCACGCAACCUACUUCCAUAGUGAUAAAUUAGAUUUUAAAACAAAAAUGUUUUUUUUUUAAUAUCGUAUUGUUUUCGAUGUUACCUAGUUGUUGCGUGAUUUUCCCACACCCUCCUCACAACAUUUUCAUGUACGUUUUUAAAAUUAAUCUAACAAAAUGGAGUUUGUUACUAAAUUAGUGGUUAAUGAUUUGCUGUGAAUCAAAUGAUUUUUUUUAAUGAUUUGUUAUAUCUAUAACAAAUGUCAAGAUGUUGUUUAUGUGUUUUUUAGGAAAACAAAUAUUGUGGAGUUGACUUGACUUGACCAAUACACUUUACAAAUCUAAAUAAUUGGUGAAAUAUAAUUUGGAUAAAAUAAUUUUAAGACGAUAUUAUUUUGUAUAUAAAUAUUAAAACAACAACAUAUUGAAUUGACUCGGCUUAACUUGCCAAAUUCGUGACUCGAGUCAUAAGGCUAUGAUAGCUCCAUUGAAAAUAAAUAAAAAUAAAUUAUAAAACUCAAUUCUCAAUCAACGUCAUGUUAUAGGAUAGAAUUGAAAAUAAAAUUAAUUAAAAAAAAGACAAAAUAAAAAAUCACAGUCAACCUAAAUUAACUCAUCAAAUUCACGACCCGAGUCAUGAGACUAAAAUAACCUCAUAGAUAGCAAAUCAAAUCAAAUUAUGAAGUCUAAUUCUCAAUCAACUCAAUGUUGAAAGAUGAAAUUAAAAAAAAAAAUCAAUUAAAAAAUGAUUCAAGAAGUCAACUCAGGUUAAUUUAUCAAGUUCGUAACCCUAAUUAUAAGAUUAUAAUAACCUCUUAGAAAACAAAUCAAAAUAAAUUAUAAAUUAUAUUCCCAAUAAAUCUAAUAUUAAAAGAUAAAAUUAAAAAAAAAAUCAAAGAACCGUUUCCUCCUCUUUUAAUUAGUUUUUAUUAAGUAUUUUCAUCCAUAUACAUGUGGAUGGAAUUGCACUCAUAUUUUUCAUAGCUGGCUUAUUCAAUAAUGCAAAGUAGUGGACACGUUCAUUAUUUGUUUUCUCUUAUGCGUAUGCGAACCUCCAUUAUUAGUUCACAUGCAAUGCUGCUAAGCAUGUUGGUGGCUAUAAAUAAGAGUGGCAGAGAAGAGGGAAUAACCAUCUUAAACACAAAUUAAUAUUUCCAACAUGAAGGCCUUUCUUAUCAUAGGCAUUCUUUUAGCUACCGUUGUCUUCUCUCUCCCUUCUCCACUUCCACUGCUCAGGAAUAUAAUUAAGGCCCAUAAAGGUGAACCCACCAUUUCUAUCUGCUAUCGAUUCCACUGAUCUUAUGAUUUAAGAGAUAAGCAUGUUCGUAGUUCAUGUUUUGUGUGUGUGUGUGUGUGUGUGUGUUAAGUAGUAUUAUAGAAUGUAUAGCAUGUAUAUCUCUGAAUAGGAAAUUAAUGUAGGAUUAUUCCAAUGUUGUAAUCCCUACGGUUACUAUCGUAUUCUGCCCUACAUAUAUAAAUAGGAAAGGUUGGCUAAGGCCAACCUAAGUCAUUCUGUUAUUCUCAACUAGUAGUUCAUAUAUGUAUUGUGUUUAUGUAUAAUACUGCAGCUAUGCCUGCUUUUGAAUGCAAGCAAAUAUUUGUUGCCAAAACUUUAUAUAUUUAAAUAGAUAUCUUACGAUCUUAUCUUAAUUGUAUACAAAAACCUUGCUUCAAGAUUACCCAACCAUGUUCAUGCUGCUCUCUUUUUACUUCCUUUGAUUUUUGGUCAUCGGGUUCCAUUUUCUUAUUUUCACUCCCUUUUUUUUUUUAUAUAUAUAUAAAUAUUACUUAAUUAUAUUUACUGAGUUUGUGAUAAUUCUCAUAACACGUGUAACAUACAUGUAAGUAAAUCUUUGCAGGUCAUAUGUGACGAUUGACCCUUCAAGAUACAUACCAUGCCGUAGCCGGCCUGAUGAUCCAAAUUGCAUCCCAAGGCGAAUCCCCGUACGGCCUUGUAAUCCUUACAAGCGAUAUUGUAAAAUCCCAUGAGAAUGGAAGUAAAGUUAAUUUUGUGCUUAAAAGUGUCGACCGACAGCUAGUAGUAUCUUUACUAACAUGGUAAUUUGAUAUGAGAACAUUUUAUGUAAGAAAAAUAAACUAUGAAGUUCUCAUAACAUGUCAACAACCAUGUAUUCUUAAAGCAUAUUAUUAUCUUCAAUAAUGCAAAGUAUUCAGUAAGCGGUAAUGCAACCCUAAAGCUUGCAGAAAACCUUACACCCUGGGUUAGAAGAGUAUGGAUGGCUAAUAGUGUCUUUAUCAUUAUAUAUGUAAAAUGUUAUUUGUAAAUGAGGACUAUAUAUUUAUGUGGGAAAUUUAAAAUAAAUAAAGUUCCCAUGAUCAGUGGAUGGAAGGAAACAUUUUGAGGUUUUAAUUUCUGUAAUAUUAAAGAAAGUUUAUGCCAAAUGAAGUGGUUAAUUAAUCUAAUUUCUUAUUGUGGUGCUUAUAUGGUAAAAUCAAUUAAAUAAAGUUGGAACUGGAUGCUUAUAUAUUAUUCAAGCAUUAAAAUUAAUUACGGGAGUGAUAAUUAAUGAUUGAUUUAUCUUUUGUUAGCUUAGGGAGGUAAACUUAAUCUCGACUUAUGAAAUAUGAUCCAAUAAUAAAAGUUUGACUCCUUCUUUUCUUUUCAAUUUUCUCUUAAUUUUUUUUUAAUUUUAAUGAAAGUUUCAUUGAAUUUCUUUUUCUUAGUUUCCCAUUUUGGUUCUACUUUGGUUUUUUUUUUUACAGUUUUUUAUGUUUUUCAAUAUUGUUUUAUUCCUUGAAUCGAGAUUUUGUAUCUUGAAGGGCACUUUAGUCAUCCUAUUGGAAAAUUUGUUGAGAUAUAAGGGUUAUAUAUGUUCUCUAUUUUAGGCCUUAGAAAAUGAUUGAAGAAAUAGACUAAUAAACUUAACUAUUCACGCAUGUGUGUGUGUAUGUGCUUACUGGUGAUUUUCCUUCGCACUAAAUUUAACUCUUCAAUCUAUUCACCACUUGAUAAAAGCAAGUCGAAAUACUAUUGACCCAAGCCAUUUUGAUGUCAACGUCCGUUGCUCUAGUAUGUUUGAAAACUUGAUGUAAAUUGUGUUUUUAUAAAAUUUUAAUUUAAAAAAAAACAAAAAAAAAACAAUGCAGAAACUAAAAAAAAGAGAAGGAACCAUCACCUACCACCACAACACCGCCAUCGUGAAUGACAGCACCUCACCUAGGUCAGCCUCUCCUCUUUUUCUUUUUUUUCUUCUCUUAGUUGCUUCAUUAUUCACGUUGUAUGUGAACAGUGAAGAGUUUCUCCAUUGUUUUUCUAGGCCGGACAGCGACGGCCCAGACCAAAUUAUUUUUUUUCACACGACUUGUCAUCUGAUUUUUUUCAAAAUAAAUUUGGGCGAAUGACAUGUUAUUUGACCUAGUUACAAAAAAAAAAAUAAGGGCCUAGACACGUGGGCUUGCAAGGGCAGGCUCGUGUGUGGGCCCUAACAAAAUAGGUUUUUUUAAUCUUUUGUAUGAAUGAACUUUUUGAAAAAAAAAAUUUCUAAUUUUGUUUUAAAUUAAUGAUUUUUUAUGGUUUUUUCUCUAAAAAAUUUUAAUUUAUAUUUAGAUUAGUAGCCCUUCUUUCUUUCAUUUUAUUUAGAGAGCCUCUUUUAAAUUACAAUUAAUUUUUUGGUUAUGCAUUUAAAUUUGAAAAGUUUUUUUAUUCAUCUACAAUAUUUUUUUUAAUCUUUUGUAUGAAUGAACUUUAGUUUUGAAAAUAAAAAAUAAAUAUUUUCAAAUAAUAUUUCUAACAUGUGCAGUCACGCAUGAUUUUUUUUCUCUUUUAUUUUAUUCAAUCAAUUUAAUUUGUUUUUUUAUUUCUAUUAUCAUUUUCUUGAAUAAAAAAAUUAUUUUAAUAAAUAAAUUUAGCAAACACAGUAGGGUAAAUAUCUCGUGUUUUGAGACUAAAUAUUUUGAUUUACACCUAUCUCUUGAUUUUUAAGUUUUAUACUUUUCGAAGUUUUACACAUAAAAUUUGUCAAGUUUUGCUCAUGUAGAUACAAUUGCAUUCAUACUUUUCGAAGUUACAAUUAACUCUAUUUUUUUGUGGUAGAUUCAAUAUGAGGUGGUAAGUUUUUUGAUAAUCAUGUGUGCCUUUGCGUAAAACGUUGUUACUAAUUAAUUGGGGAGGUGAAAUAGCAAAGGAAUUAAAGCACAUAACUGCAGUAAUCAUACUUUUUACAAUAACCCGGCAUCCGUUUACUAUGGUAUAUUACAUGCAUGCACUAAAUUAACCUAACACGCUAUGUUUUGCUUAGAGACCUCUGAAGGUGGAACCUGUCACCGUUAGUCAACCAGCUAGUCUCGGCCUUUUAUCGUCUUCCAUGCAUUUUUAAGCUUAAGGUCCACGAUGAAAUUUCAGUGCAGUGUCACAAUACCUUAGAAAAUGAUACCUCAAUUUUGUACUUGUCAACUAUGUUUUGCUUAGAAACCUCUGAAGGUGGAGCCGGUCACCGUGAAUCAACAGCUAGUCUUCAGCUUUACUGUCUUCCAAAUAUUUAAUAAAGCAUAUUAUUAUCUUCCAUCAUAUGUGGAUAGAAUCCACUCUUACUUUUCAAAGGUAGCUUAGUCAAUAAUGCGAAGUAUUUGAUACGUUCGUUAAUUAUCUUGGGCACGGGAGGAAUAGUUCCCUUAUCAACUAUGAUACCUCAAUUUUGUACUUAUCAACUAUGUUUUGCCUGGAAACCUCUGAAGGUGGAGCCUGUCACCGUGAGUCAACAACUAGUUUUCAGCUUUACUAAUGCUGAGUAUCUUCUUCCAUGUAUUAUUAAAGCAUAUUAUUAUCUUCCAUCAUAUGCGUGGAUAGAAUCCACUCUUACUUUUCAAAGGUGGCCUGGUCAAUAAUGCGAAGUAUUUGAUACGUUCGUUAAUUAUCUUGGGCACGGGAGGAAUGGUUCCCUUGGAAUGCUGCUAAAAAUCAUGGUGGCUAUAAAUAGCUAGGAGCGGUGGAUAGGAGGAGAGCAUAACCAUUUUAGUUAGUCACAUAGAUUUCCAAGAUGAAGGCCUUUCUUAUCGCAUGCAUUCUCUUAGCUACCAUCGUCUUCUCUCCCCUGUCCAGUUGCACUGCUCGAGAAUUGGCCGAGCAAGGUGAGAUUUUAUUUCCAUCAUUAACUUCAGAAAAGCAGUUCAUUUUGUGUGUAAUCUCUGUGUACGCCGGCUUUUUUCAUGCACACAACUUUUUGUAAUUAUAAAACUGAUGAGUCAACCUUUACUUUUACUUCCAGCAUUUUAAUUAACUUAAGAUAAUCAUUUCAUGUUAUAUGUUAUUUAAUUAAUCUGUCGUGGGCUAUCUUAUAAAAAAAAAUGAUUUUCAAAGGUGGUAACUCCAUUUAAAAGGUAAGAAGAAAAUUAACUAGGUCUUUUUCAAAGUCAUUGUAAGACCUAAUAUUGCUUGGGAUUUUCCAAAGGCUUUGUAGAAAAAGCCCUUAAUUCUAUUAAUUAAAAACCUUUCACCUGUAUUUUGAUACUUGUUUAAUAAUUGCCAUGAUUCAAUUCGCUGUUAUCUUAACAAGCUAACGUGUGUAUACAUGUGUGCAAAUCUUUCAGCUAUACCCAGCCCAGGUCUUAACCCAGGCAAUGUUCCAUUCAAUUGCGGUAGGGGUAAGCGAUAUUGCGUACCUAGCCAACCACCAAAACGUUGCCCUCCUUACAAGCGUAAUUGUUAGAAGCAAGCAAAGUUGAGUGCUUAGAAGUAUGGAGAGCUUCUGCUGUCUUUAUCAAUAUGUAAAAUGAUGAGAACUAUUUAUGUGAGAAAAAUAAAUAAAGUUCUCCAGUGGAUUAGAAGAAGCAAGCAAGGUUGUGUGCUUAAAAAGUAUGGACGGCUCAUAGUGUCUUUAUCAAUAUGUAAAAUGUUAUGUUGAUAUGGGAACUAUUUAUGUGAGAAAAAUAAAUGAAGUUCUUAGUGAGU